GAGUCCCCCGUGUACAGAGGACAUCAAGCGUCUGUGGCAAAACCACAGCAGUCACCAGCUCCAGUCACCCCCAAGAGCGUCCGGUGCACACAGCGAGAUACAUUUUUCAAGACACCCGGCAGCCUCGGAGACCCUGUCCUGAGGAAAAGAGAGAGGAAUCCGUCGCGUAACACCACUUCAGCACAGCGGAGACUCGAGAUACCCAGUGGCGGGUCCGACUAAGCCGCUGCUCUGCCCGGCAGGCGGGGACGGAGCUGCCCGAGCUUCCCUGUGAUAAGGUCUCGUCCUAACUCUGCCGAACAGAAACCGGAAUGCAAACCAUCUCGUCUUCAGCAUGCCUCCUUCCUCUCUGCAGCAUCCGCUGAUCCAGACACUCACUCCCCAUCGUCAUGAAGCACCUAUUUUCCUAAAAGUGGUUGUCAUUCAUUGUGCAUUGAAAACCAGUUAGAGUCGGGACCCUGCGUGGUGUCACAGGGAAAGCACCAGCUGACUUUUGUGGUUUUGAUUCAAGAAUCAUCUUAAUGCCGGAAAUAGAUCCGAGCAGCCUCCUGGAGCCUUAGGGUUUUCUGAAGUGGGGGGUUGCAUCUAGCACUUAACUAAGGUGAACGUUCUUGACACGUAUUUCCACUUGCCCUGAGCUGAUCUGUGGUGAGAAACCUCCUUUCUGCAGUUUAGAAAAGCUACUGCUCCCUUUGGCUUCAUCAGGAAGCCAGCUUCACUUGUGACUCCUAUGGUAUUAUUUAUUUUUUCCUGAAAUGGGAUUUAGUGCAAACAAGUUUACAUCUACAGCAAAAUACAUGUUUUUCAGGGUAUGACGACUUGAAUGUUUAUGCUUUUUUCCCUAUGAUUUGCCCUGCACUUACUUUACAACCUAGCAAUAAUGUGGACAAAUGUAUGUGCGUGACGGAAGGCCAAGGCCACGCUAACUGUGAAUGACACACCUUGCUGUCAGGAGCUGUGCGCACCCCACCUGGGCAUGAGUAUUAAGAUGAGCCCCAGCAGCCCGAUAGCUGCUUCUCGGUAACUGAGUGAUUUGUCAGAAUCCUGCCGUGUCCGUUUCCUUCACUACAUGCAUGCCCUUGUGGUUUUUAAUUUAAAUGUUAACUACAGAGGAUCAGGUACGGGAUAUGCCUCCUAACAACUGCUGUUUAUCAAAUGAAUCAGGAUGGUGGAAAGUAAUUCUACAAAAAAUGGGAACCUGGUUGGGAGCUUUUGGUAGGAUUCUGCUGACGUGAUGAUGUAGAAAUUGACAUAGGACAAUAAGGGAGACCUAGCUUUUUUCGCUUCCUUUUUUUCUUUGUUGUUGGAAGAGGAAGAGGGAAAAUGAACACUUUAUGUUCAGGAUCCAAGAGUACUCAUUCACACCCGUUGUUUUUCAAAGUCCUUCUGCAAAAUAAGAACAGGGAGUGCAGGGCUUCAUUGUUCUCGCAUAAAUUUAAUUCUGGAAACUGUUAUGCAAUAUCCCUUUGUUAAACCAUAUUCCUUUAGGGUUUCAUGAAGCGGCCAAACUAGACUUUGUAUUCUUUGAUUUACUGCUGUUUAACUCACCGUCUCUCCCGAGUAAAUGGCUUCCUUCCUGCCUCCCUUCUCUUCUCCCUUCCAUUUUUCCUCCUUUCCUUCAUUCCUCACUCUUUCUCUUCCUGUCUCCUUAGAUUUCUUUUUCAGAUCCUUAGAUGUGGGAUCUUGGUGUAGGACUUUAUUUUUAUUUUUGGACCCAACAAAAUGUUAUAUGAAAGAAUAAAGCAUAUUAAUUGAAGAGACUCUGGGAGUCUGAGUGAAAUAGCUUUACAUUAACUGCAGGAUAAUAUUAGCCUGAUCACCCCCACAAGAUUUUUGAAAAUGUGAGAUAGGUAGCCAGGUUAAAUAAAUUUGCCAUGAUAUAGAAUUUUUAUAAACACUAAACUUCUAAAGUUUACCAGAUGGAUGCCCCCCCCCCCCAGUCUUCUCUAGAGUUAAACAUGAAAAAUGUGAUUCUCGUCAUGAGCUGAUCUAAUCGCAUGGUAAUGGUUACCCUCAACUAAUAUGACGGAUUCCCGAUCAGAACAAAAAUACGUCUUUUUCAGGAGAGUAUGGGACACACGGAACGGAGGUGUGCUUCGGACUCUCCUUGAAACAUUUCCUCUUGCGAGAUGUGCAUGUAGAUGAAGACAGGCACUGAUGCCCCUCCCUGUCUUUGGCUGCCUGCCAUUUAACUUCUCUGAUACCCUUUUUUAAAAAUUCUGUCCAUGACAUGACCACAUAAACCUCAGAGGAUUCACAGCUCUUGAGGGGUAUUCCGCAAGCUGAUAAAUGAGAGUAUGAUUCUGUGACCAUAGGCUUCGAGAGAGAAGACCAACAAGAGAGUCCUUUUGUACCCAGGAGUCAUUUCUUCGUGUGGCUUGGGGAUGUGUAGAAAAUAGUUAGGCAGUGGUUCUUUCUGGCAGGAAUGGGAAUCUGCGACAGAGCCAACGGAUGGUACUGGGGCAGCUGGCAUCUCCCCACACUCGCAUGUUGGGAGUAGUGAGAAAGCCAUGGCACGCUCGAGUCUAUCCUGAUAAUGUGGCAAAAUGUUAAUAAAUGACUGUCAGUGAUCCUGCGAAGGAAAUGCAGCUUUGAGUCCACACUGAGGGAGGUGUGUGUCCCCUACACUGUCCAGGGUUUGAGAAACCCUUUCAUUCUGGUCCAAGCGUUGGGGGUAUAACGUUUAUACUUGAAUCUACCUACCAAGUUUACAUUUCUCGAUUCCUUUUUGCGAGGUGCUAUUUCUGUAUUUAAAUGACUUUUUUCCCCAAUGUAAAGCUGCUUUCUGCUUUAUCUUAUUGCACUGCUAGUUUUAUGUAGGUCUUAAUUUUAUUGCUGCUUACAGCUUUUUUCAUAUUACUUAGCUCUGCUCUUCUAAUGACUAUAUUAUCUAUAUAAAUUUUUCUUUUAGAAAUUUUUUUGCUUUUAGGAAAGUAUGAAGCUUUAUAAAACAGCAAUAAAAAUCAAUUCAUGU
RNAcentral lists this long non-coding RNA (2974 nucleotides) under Sus scrofa (pig). RNAcentral's name for it is "lncRNA (ENSSSCG00005025301.1)". The record is from RNAcentral. Lineage: Eukaryota; Metazoa; Chordata; Mammalia; Artiodactyla; Suidae.